GAUGAACGCUGGCGGCGUGCCUAAUACAUGCAAGUCGAGCGAACAGACGAGGAGCUUGCUCCUCUGACGUUAGCGGCGGACGGGUGAGUAACACGUGGAUAACCUACCUAUAAGACUGGGAUAACUUCGGGAAACCGGAGCUAAUACCGGAUAAUAUAUUGAACCGCAUGGUUCAAUAGUGAAAGACGGUUUUGCUGUCACUUAUAGAUGGAUCCGCGCCGCAUUAGCUAGUUGGUAAGGUAACGGCUUACCAGGGCAACGAUGUGUAGCCGACCUGAGAGGGUGAUCGGCCACACUGGAACUGAGACACGGUCCAGACUCCUACGGGAGGCAGCAGUAGGGAAUCUUCCGCAAUGGGCGAAAGCCUGACGGAGCAACGCCGCGUGAGUGAUGAAGGUCUUCGGAUCGUAAAACUCUGUUAUUAGGGAAGAACAAAUGUGUAAGUAACUAUGCACGUCUUGACGGUACCUAAUCAGAAAGCCACGGCUAACUACGUG
RNAcentral lists this ribosomal RNA (497 nucleotides) under uncultured bacterium. Its description in RNAcentral is "partial 16S ribosomal RNA". It matches the Rfam family "Bacterial small subunit ribosomal RNA", at positions 28 to 507 of the family's 1533-position model. The record is from RNAcentral.